GACGAACGCUGGCGGCGUGCCUAAUACAUGCAAGUUGAGCGCUGAAGGUUGGUACUUGUACCAACUGGAUGAGCAGCGAACGGGUGAGUAACGCGUGGGGAAUCUGCCUUUGAGCGGGGGACAACAUUUGGAAACGAAUGCUAAUACCGCAUAAAAACUUUAAACACAAGUUUUAAGUUUGAAAGAUGCAAUUGCAUCACUCAAAGAUGAUCCCGCGUUGUAUUAGCUAGUUGGUGAGGUAAAGGCCCACCAAGGCGAUGAUACAUAGCCGACCUGAGAGGGAGAUCGGCCACAUUGGGACUGAGAAACGGCCCAAACUCCUACGGGAGGGAGCAGUAGGGAAUCUUCGGAAAUGGACGAAAGUCUGACCGAGCAACGCCGCGUGAGGGAAGAAGGUUUUCGGAUCGUAAAACUCUGUUGGUAGGGGAGAACGGUGGUGAGGGUGGAAAGCUCAUCAAGUGACGGUAACUACACAGAAAGGGACGGCUAACUACGUG
This 497-nucleotide ribosomal RNA is filed under the name uncultured bacterium. RNAcentral's name for it is "partial 16S ribosomal RNA". It matches the Rfam family "Bacterial small subunit ribosomal RNA", at positions 28 to 507 of the family's 1533-position model. The record is from RNAcentral.